UGGGGAAUAUUGCACAAUGGGGGAAACCCUGAUGCAGCGACGCCGCGUGAGCGAAGAAGGCUUUCGAGUCGUAAAGCUCUGUCCUAUGAGAAGAUAAUGACGGUAUCAUAGGAGGAAGCCCUGGCUAAAUACGUGCCAGCAGCCGCGGUAAUACGUAUGGGGCGAGCGUUGUCCGGAAUUAUUGGGCGUAAAGGGUACGUAGGUGGUUUUUUAAGUCAGGUGUCAAAGCGUGGAGCUUAACUCCAUUAAGCACUUGAAACUGAAAGACUUGAGUGAAGGAGAGGAAAGUGGAAUUCCUAGUGUAGCGGUGAAAUGCGUAGAUAUUAGGAGGAAUACCGGUGGCGAAGGCGACUUUCUGGCCUGCAACUGACACUGAGGCGCGAAAGCGUGGGGAGCAAACAGG
RNAcentral lists this ribosomal RNA (403 nucleotides) under Verrucomicrobiota bacterium. Its description in RNAcentral is "Verrucomicrobia bacterium partial 16S ribosomal RNA". It matches the Rfam family "Bacterial small subunit ribosomal RNA", at positions 355 to 776 of the family's 1533-position model. Lineage: Bacteria; Pseudomonadati; Verrucomicrobiota. The record is from RNAcentral.